This is a long non-coding RNA of Scatophagus argus, 325 nucleotides long. RefSeq lists it as uncharacterized. The record is from RefSeq and is a predicted model, not a curated record. The transcript has 3 exons. Lineage: Eukaryota; Metazoa; Chordata; Actinopteri; Scatophagidae.
ACAGCCACAGAUAACACCGGGCCGCCCAAUAGAGCCUCCGAAACAUGUUUUCAUCCCAGCUCAUCACACCCAGAUACAGAGGGAACCGUUGAGAUGCGGCGGGAUGAGAAGAAAAGGCAGUAUUUGACACUCUGGGAAAAAGACUGAGCUCCCCUGGCGGCCUCUGGAGAGGAGCCGGCAUUUGGCAGCAUGAGGGUGCAGAGAGAGUGAAGCUGGGUCUUACCUGCUGUACACCUGUCCUGAGUUCUCUGCAAUUAACUCCACCCUAAGCUCAGUCAUCUUAAGACUGGCUUUCACCUGCCUUCAUCGCCAGAUUGUUCCUACA